Termitomyces sp. Mi166#008 is the source of this 98-nucleotide non-coding RNA. The record is from the annotation of a GenBank genome assembly. NCBI's taxonomy places the organism in Eukaryota, Fungi, Basidiomycota, Agaricomycetes, Agaricales, Lyophyllaceae.
GGCCUGAUGGUCUAGUAGUAUGAUUCCUUGUUAGGGUCACAGAUGAUUUCAGUCUGUAUCUAUCGAGGAGGUCCUGGGUUCAAUUCCCAGUUAGGCCC